RNAcentral lists this ribosomal RNA (466 nucleotides) under Vreelandella stevensii. Its description in RNAcentral is "partial 16S ribosomal RNA". It matches the Rfam family "Bacterial small subunit ribosomal RNA", at positions 338 to 795 of the family's 1533-position model. The record is from RNAcentral. Lineage: Bacteria; Pseudomonadati; Pseudomonadota; Gammaproteobacteria; Oceanospirillales; Halomonadaceae.
CCUACGGGGGGCUGCAGUGGGGAAUAUUGGACAAUGGGGGCAACCCUGAUCCAGCCAUGCCGCGUGUGUGAAGAAGGCCCUCGGGUUGUAAAGCACUUUCAGUGAGGAAGAACGCCUGGUGGUUAAUACCCAUCAGGAAAGACAUCACUCACAGAAGAAGCACCGGCUAACUCCGUGCCAGCAGCCGCGGUAAUACGGAGGGUGCGAGCGUUAAUCGGAAUUACUGGGCGUAAAGGCGCGCGUAGGUGGCUUGAUAAGCCGGUUGUGAAAGCCCCGGGCUCAACCUGGGAACGGCAUCCGGAACUGUCAAGCUAGAGUGCAGGAGAGGAAGGUAGAAUUCCCGGUGUAGCGGUGAAAUGCGUAGAGAUCGGGAGGAAUACCAGUGGCGAAGGCGGCCUUCUGGACUGACACUGACACUGAGGUGCGAAAGCGUGGGUAGCAAACAGGAUUAGAUACCCGGGUAGUC